This is a long non-coding RNA of Leptidea sinapis, 1364 nucleotides long. RefSeq lists it as uncharacterized. The transcript has 2 exons. The record is from RefSeq and is a predicted model, not a curated record. Lineage: Eukaryota; Metazoa; Arthropoda; Insecta; Lepidoptera; Pieridae.
GUCUGGCAGUUUAUGUUUUAAUUUAGAAAUGUGAUUUACAUUAGAAGGUGGACAAGAUAUAGGUAAAGUAAGAACAACUGGUAUAUCAUCACUUCCAUAAGAAUUGUCAAGUACACUCCAGGAUAGCAGUGAGGCCAAACUUGGAGAGCAAAGUGACAACAAGUCAGGAGCACUGAGGCUUUCAUGGGGACCAGUAUGUCGAGUUAGAGUUCCAUUGUUCAAUAUACAUACAUUAUGAGAGUCUAAAAUAUCUGUCAUCAAUUCACCAUAAUUAGUGUUAGAACUGCCCCAUGAUUGAUUUUGACAGUUGAAAUCACCAAGUACUAAAAAUGGGCCAGGUAAGGUAGCAAGUAAUUGACUAAACUCAUUAUAUAAAACAGAAGAAGGGUGAGGUAUAUACACAGAUAUUAUACAAAUUUUAUUUACAAUCACAGCAAUGGCAUUAAUGCCAUCACUGAGAGUAGGGAGUGAAAAAAUCUUAUAUGAGAAAGAUUUACUAAUAAGUAUGGCCACUCCGCCAUACCCAUCAAGUCUAUCAUUUCUCACAGUGACAAAACCAGAAAUCCUAAAAGAAAACUCUGGUUAAACCAUGUCUCAGAGAGACACAUAGCCAUAGCUUUAUAUUUAUUUAGUAAGUAAAUAAUAUCAGUUUUUUUGCUUAUUACACUCCUGCAGUUCCACUGAAGGAUUUUGUGGUCCAUAAUUAAAGAUUUGGUUUAAAGAUGUCAAUAAUGAAUUGGCAGCGUUGGACGGUAAAUAGUUAUCAUUAGAGAAUGAAUUACUAGAAUUAGAAAGUAAUUUAAUAAGUUCCAAAAUUAAUUCUGCAAUUGAUUGUUGUGGAAUUGUAUUUGAUCUCUGUUUCAACACACAACCAUCAGAUUGGGGAGGGGAAGAAGCUACUACAUCAUUAUAAGGUUUUGAAGAUGGGGGAUGGAUUUUAGCUGCCUCUGCAUAUGAUAUGCAACUCUGGGCCAUUGAAACUUUAAUUUUUUGUUGUCUAGCGAAUUCUGGACAUAGCUUACUAGUGGCAAAGUGACAACCAGUGCAGUGGAGACAGUGAGCAUUUUCAGAGACAAUAGCACAAGUGUCUGAGGGGUGUUCAUCCCCACAUUUAAAGCAAUGUGACUUUGACCUGCAUUGUAUUUUAGUGUGACCAAAUUUGCAGCAAUUAUAGCACUGGAUGGUAGGAAAAAUGUAUAAUUCAACAGGAAGAGAUGUAUAGCACAUGAAAACCCUUUUAGGUAAAAUUUGACCAUCAAAGGUUAAUACAACCAUGUUGGUAUUAGAAAAUAAGGUAGUACCAUCAGUAACAUUUUUUCUUUUAAUUUGUCUCACUUUUAAUAUUUGUCCACAUCCUAUAGGAA